AUUGAACGCUGGCGGCAUGCUUUACACAUGCAAGUCGAACGGUAACAGGCCGCAAGGUGCUGACGAGUGGCGAACGGGUGCGUAAUGCAUCGGAACGUGCCCAGUCGUGGGGGAUAACUACUCGAAAGAGUAGCUAAUACCGCAUACGAUCUAUGGAUGAAAGCGGGGGACCGUAAGGCCUCGCGCGAUUGGAGCGGCCGAUGUCAGAGUAGGUAGUUGGUGGGGUAAAGGCUCACCAAGCCAACGAUCUGUAGCUGGUCUGAGAGGACGACCAGCCACACUGGAACUGAGACACGGCCCAGACUCCUACGGGAGGCAGCAGUGGGGAAUUUUGGACAAUGGGCGCAAGCCUGAUCCAGCAAUGCCACGUGCAGGAAGAAGGCCUUCGGGUUGUAAACUGCUUUUGUACGGAACGAAACGGCUCUGGUUAAUACCCGGGGCUAAUGACGGUACCGUAAGAAUAAGCACCGGCUAACUACGUG
This 482-nucleotide ribosomal RNA is filed under the name uncultured bacterium. Its description in RNAcentral is "partial 16S ribosomal RNA". It matches the Rfam family "Bacterial small subunit ribosomal RNA", at positions 30 to 507 of the family's 1533-position model. The record is from RNAcentral.